Molecule: non-coding RNA, 315 nt
Organism: Methanolobus psychrophilus R15
Lineage: Archaea; Methanobacteriati; Methanobacteriota; Methanomicrobia; Methanosarcinales; Methanosarcinaceae
Source: Rfam
UGGCGGGCUAGUCCGGGUAGGCCGGCGUUACCUGUAACCCGAAAUCGCCGAUAUGCGGGGGACGAAGCCAAGAGAAGAUGCCUGGAUCAUUUUCAAACCUGUGAUCUCAACUGAGAAGCCCCGUCCUGUUUGGAUGGUGCUGGUAUAAGGGCUUGUUGGAGAACUUGUUCGUAUACCUUAACUGCGGGAACCAGUUCAGGACCGGAAGGGAGCAGACCUACCGUGGGCAACUAUCGCUUGCAGGGCUGCGGGGUGGAGAAGAGGCCACAGAUCAUUUGGAGAUGUGAAGGACAGCAACUUGCGGCAUGCUCGUCA